CCUACGGGAGGCAGCAGUGAGGAAUAUUGGUCAAUGGGCUUACGCCUGAACCAGCCAAGUCGCGUGAGGGAAGACUGCCCUAUGGGUUGUAAACCUCUUUUGUCAGGGAGCAAUUGGCGCUACGUGUAGCGUUAUCGAGAGCACCUGAAGUAAAAGCAUCGGCUAACUCCGUGCCAGCAGCCGCGGUAAUACGGAGGAUGCGCGCGUUAGCCGGAUUUAUUGGGUGUAAGGGGUGCGUAGGCUGGAUGCCAAGUCAGCGGUAAAAUCGCGGGGCUCCAGCGGGUGAAGCCGUUGUGACUGGGAGUUGCGGGAAUGCGGAUGACGUGGGAGGGAUGUGGGGUGUAGCGGGGAAAGGCAGAGAUAUCACACAGAAAAACGAUUGAGAAGGAAUCGCACGAAUCCGCGAUUGACGCUGAUGCACGAAAGCGUGGGUAUCAAACAGGCUUAGAGAGCCGUGUAGUC
This 462-nucleotide ribosomal RNA is filed under the name uncultured bacterium. RNAcentral's name for it is "partial 16S ribosomal RNA". It matches the Rfam family "Bacterial small subunit ribosomal RNA", at positions 338 to 795 of the family's 1533-position model. The record is from RNAcentral.